Molecule: ribosomal RNA, 133 nt
Filed under: uncultured bacterium
Lineage: Bacteria
Description: partial 16S ribosomal RNA
Rfam family: Bacterial small subunit ribosomal RNA
Source: RNAcentral
GGGGGAUAUUGCACAAUGGGGGGGAACCCUGGAUGCAGCGACGCCGCGUGAGUGAAGAAGUAUUUCGGUAUGUAAAGCUCUAUCAGCAGGGAAGAAAAUGACGGUACCUGACUAAGAAGCCCCGGCUAACUAC